Molecule: ribosomal RNA, 222 nt
Filed under: Triticum aestivum (bread wheat)
Lineage: Eukaryota; Viridiplantae; Streptophyta; Magnoliopsida; Poales; Poaceae
Description: partial small subunit ribosomal RNA
Source: RNAcentral
AUGGCUAGGGUUUCGGGCAUGGCUUCGUCGGUGUGUCUCCGAUGGUCCCAGGUUCGUCCUUCCUUCCUUCUUGGCCGAGAUUUGCUGCCCCUACACCUCACCUUCUCUUCAUAUCCUCUGCUGGAGAUGCAGUUGGGGCAUGCCAUGGAGUUCCCCAUCCACCACGGUCGCCGCCGUCAAAGGAUUCUUCAAGGAGAUGUCAAAGACGCCAUGGACAUGUAG